UACUUUUUCUCAAUUCCUCCAAAACCCAAAAACCCAACUAACAAAAUCUAACCGAUGGAAAGACCGUGGCCGGAGAAAAAUGUUUUAUUGCCGCUGGUGAACAUGUGGACGCCGGAGAAGAAUGGUAUGUUGCCGCGGAUGAAAAAACCACCGUACAUGCACACCCACCAUCUCAUCAAUCACCAAAUAUUAAAGAAAAUAUUUUAUUUUCUCUCUGAAGCAUUUUAACUAACACCUAGGAAGCAAAAAUGGCAGCCAAACUGAGACAGACUUUUGGAUUGGCUGCAAGAGACCCAUCUGAGAAACAUGAUGAAUGGAGCACUUAUGUUUACCCUCUUGUUCAUGGGUCCUUGAGUUUCUGUGCUCCGAAGAAGAAGCUAACUCGAGAGUAAAUUAAAAAUUCAUAUAUGCAGCAUAUCAAAGCAAAGUGGUUUUCAUCUUCUAUGGUGGUUCUUGAGGCGGAGGCGGCAGUUGGAGUUUAAAGGUAGAGUCGGAGCAAAAGUA
Long non-coding RNA from Mercurialis annua (annual mercury), 504 nucleotides. RefSeq lists it as uncharacterized. The transcript has 3 exons. The record is from RefSeq and is a predicted model, not a curated record. NCBI's taxonomy places the organism in Eukaryota, Viridiplantae, Streptophyta, Magnoliopsida, Malpighiales, Euphorbiaceae.